This 606-nucleotide ribosomal RNA is filed under the name Salmonella enterica. Its description in RNAcentral is "bacterial LSU rRNA". It matches the Rfam family "Bacterial large subunit ribosomal RNA", at positions 60 to 706 of the family's 2925-position model. Lineage: Bacteria; Pseudomonadati; Pseudomonadota; Gammaproteobacteria; Enterobacterales; Enterobacteriaceae. The record is from RNAcentral.
GCUAAUCUGCGAUAAGCGCCGGUAAGGUGAUAUGAACCGUUAUAACCGGCGAUACCCGAAUGGGGAAACCCAGUGUGAUUCGUCACACUAUCAUUAACUGAAUCCAUAGGUUAAUGAGGCGAACCGGGGGAACUGAAACAUCUAAGUACCCCGAGGAAAAGAAAUCAACCGAGAUUCCCCCAGUAGCGGCGAGCGAACGGGGAGGAGCCCAGAGCCUGAAUCAGCAUGUGUGUUAGUGGAAGCGUCUGGAAAGGCGCGCGAUACAGGGUGACAGCCCCGUACACAAAAGCGCAUGUGCUGUGAGCUCGAUGAGUAGGGCGGGACACGUGGUAUCCUGUCUGAAUAUGGGGGGACCAUCCUCCAAGGCUAAAUACUCCUGACUGACCGAUAGUGAACCAGUACCGUGAGGGAAAGGCGAAAAGAACCCCGGCGAGGGGAGUGAAAAAGAACCUGAAACCGUGUACGUACAAGCAGUGGGAGCACAGGUUUACCUGUGUGACUGCGUACCUUUUGUAUAAUGGGUCAGCGACUUAUAUUCUGUAGCAAGGUUAACCGAAUAGGGGAGCCGGAGGGAAACCGAGUCUUAAUUGGGCGUUAAGUCGCUGG